Molecule: long non-coding RNA, 4990 nt
Organism: Pogonomyrmex barbatus (red harvester ant)
Lineage: Eukaryota; Metazoa; Arthropoda; Insecta; Hymenoptera; Formicidae
Source: RefSeq, a predicted model, not a curated record
CUCUCUCUUUCUGUCAAUUCUAUCCGGAAGCACGAGGGCUCUUGCAUAUUUACCCUUCGUCCGUGCCCUUACCCUUAGCCUUUGGCAAAUGGACCGUUUUAUUCAGAGAGCAUCCCGUCGGUCCUUCACCUUCGAUUUACCCCUUGCGCCCUUUGUCUUUCCCAAUUGACGCGAUGCCUCCCCAACGAUACUUCCAGGAGUAUACUUGACUGAAAUACGUCCAAAGACGACGGACUAGAGAUUUCUUUCCUUUCUUUUCUCGCGAAUUAAGCGUCGCCGUCACGUUCCGCUGUGCAACGCGAGCCUUUGUACAGGAUGCUGACGAUCUCGUAAAAUUAUGCUCCAGUGCAACUCACAUAGUACUGUUCGUGACUGCCUUGUGAACGACGUUUUGUCGAUUUUCUGGCGUCUCACCAUAGUUCAAUAAUCGUUAUUUACCAAUACGUAUUGGAAAAUAACAUUAAUGCGACAAAUAAAUCGGAGAAUGUCCAUUAUACCGUUUUCGUAGAUUGGCUAUGUUUAUGUCAUAAUAAAGAUUGUUAUACCGUGUCCGUUUUAAAGUUGUGUGUAUAAUUAAAUUAGUUGUCGUAUGAGUAUUGACCAAAUCGUAGCCAGCAAUUUCUAGAAUUUAUAUCCGACGAUAUCGUACCGCGGUGAUAUUUGCACUUUUAAUUAAACGUCAUGUCUGAUUUUCAGAGUGCUAUUAGUUAGCCGCUCAUAAAUUUUCCAGCGGAAAAGUGAAUGGCACCUGCAAAGCGCCGGGAAAAUUCGCUGUUUUAUUUUUUUUUCCAGCUGCCGCGCAUUUUAACGGCAGAAAGUGCAAUACGAACGCGCCAUAAUAAUAAACCACUCGGAACACUCGGUUGAUAUCAUUGCCUGCAUAAAUGUUGCGCGCUUGCGCCAUUAGCAUCCUUUAUCUCUGACAACUAAAUUCCCCGGGACAUUUAUUGUCAGUACUUACGGUUAACGCACUCGUAUAUGGGCAGUACGAGGUAUCUUUUAAGCUAAUACUAAUUAAGCGUCGUCACUCAUCUCUAUUAAGGCACCAUAUAGAUACCCUACUUACGUUGCUACGUAUACACUAACAUAUAAUUUUGCGGCAUUACCACGCGGCUCAUCCGAUUUUCGUUGUGCCUAAUCGCCCGGACUUACUGAAUUUAAGGAACCAUUUAUAACAAAAUCGUGAUGCAAUUUUCUGCUUUAAUAAACGUCCUUUAAUAUAACGUGACGAUCAUACUAAUUUUAAGCUGAAGUUAAUGUUUGUCUCAUAACUUUAACUUUAAACAUGCCAUUUAUUAUUAUUAUUUAAAAAGCAUAUUAAUUUACGUAGCCGCUUAAUUUUAUUACGAGCAUUCUAUUGGCGGCACAGAUAUGAUUAUAGAAUUAUCAUUAUUUAUUGUUUGUUUAUGUUUCAGUAUUGAUUUUUCACUCAUUGUUCUUAUUAUUGAGAUUUAUUUUUAUAAAAGGUUGUUUAUCUCGUAUCUUUGUGUUACUUACAUCUGUGAAUUUGAAUUAUACUAAUAAUUUUAUAUGUUAAAUAAAAAAGAUAUUGCAUAAUACGUAUAAACUGAUUCAAGUAAUCAAAAGCUGAACAUAAAUUUAUAAUUAUCAAAAAUCUAUAUUAUAAAAGAUAUAAUUUGUCUUCUUAACAUUUUACUCAUAUACACUUGGAAAAAAUUGGAAAAGAAUAGUAUUUAAAACUAUUUUAUUUCAUAAAUGUCUAUAAAUAGAUCUCUUUGAUAUAUAUAUAUUAGCUUUGCCAAAUAUGAGGCUUUGUCGCAAUGAAAAAUUAACUUCUCAAAAAUAUAAAUAUUUGUGACUCUUUUUAAUGAAAAGUUCUUAAUUGUGUGAAUCUCUUUUAAUCUGUUUAAUAUAUGUGAGACCGUCUGUGGAUUUUAUCGCGUAAUAACAAGAGAACUCUAGUUGCCACGUCAGCAACGUUGUGUCGGAAUAUUAUCGGUGCUAUCAAUAAUUAUAGAAAAUUUCGAUGUUCGCCGCGGGGCAACUCCGUGGCACGAGAUGCGCGUUACGACAUACGAGAAACGUUGCGUUACGCCCCUCUUCUCCGAAAACACGAUACCGUGCGAUAAGAUCCUCUUUUUGGCGGCUCUUACAAUGUAUUUCUUCGUCCUGUCAGGAUUGGGAAGUGACGGAGUCGUGCCAGGUUUCGGCGCUUGAUGGCCGUUGUGGUGCAAUCAGCCCAAAUAAGGUAGAUGUGCGCGGAAGAGAGACGGAAAGGAAGACGAGAACGAGAUGGAGGAAGGAGAAGUGAAUUGAUGGGAAGGGAAACGAGGGUCAUGGAAUGGACACUUAAUACGGAAUAACUCGUGAUUCCGACGAUGACUGUCGGAAAUCGGCAUGGCCGAGAGAUCUCCCGGCGGUGUAAUUGCCACAGAAAUUGACACAGGUUCGCGGCGUAGACGGGCUCAUUUAUAUUUUUUAAUCAAAGCGAGGGUUUGCAUUCGCGACAUUAUUAUUUACUUUUUGCUUGGUUAUCAUCCAUCGAUGUUAUUUUGCAGCGUUGCGUAUCUUUAACGAGCGAUGACUUUCUCUCUUUCUUUCUCUCUCUCCCUCCUAUCCACGGUCCCUCUAUCUCCCUCGCUAGAUAUCGGCGUAACGCGAUAAAUCAUCGAAUAUUAUCUAUGCGAACAGUUUGUAGCCGGCUGGGGGUCGUACCGCCAAAAAGUAUCGCAAGAACGUAAUAGACUUUCGGAACAAGAAGUCGAUUUGCCGGCAAUUGUCGCGUUGCCGUUGAUGUACGCGUAAUUAAUCUUAAACUGACGACCAUACUUUUGCCAGGGCCAGCUCGUUAUUAUUUCUGACGAGUGGUUCAUUAAUUUACGUACAGAUAAUUAUAUGUAAACGAGAAAAAUUUGAAUAUUUUUAAUUCGUGUAAAUGUAUCCGAUCCGCAAUUUUCGACACGUUGAUGUAUCUUUUCCUUUUGCGCUUCGGGAGCAACCGCAAUUAUUAUCGAAAUAUUACCUGAUUCCGUCGGGAUGAGAAAUAUAUUCUUUUUCCCGAUUAAGAAUUAGCCGGUGUCGUGAAGUGCGCUCGACAAAAAAAAUUACUUAUCGCGCCGCGGCGAUAUCCGGCGAAUUUAUUUUGGAAUCACACUAACUGUCAAGAAGGACUGUCGUUCCGAGCGAUAGGCCCGGACGGUCAGUGAGGUAAUUUGCUCGUUUUAUCUGCCGGCCAGCGUUCCUCCUUUUUGAUGCCGAUGCGAGGGAAACUACUCACUUAAGAUAGGAUAUCUACCUCGUACAACCGAAUCGACAACUUCUAUCGCGACCGAACGCUACAUUGGCUCGUCAUGAGCAAGCACGUCAUCGUUCUAAUUAAUUCCAACGCCCCACGUUCGAUUGAUCAAGAUAUAGUGGAUGGUGCAAUUAGCGGCUCUUCCUUCGAGGGCUGAUUGAUGCACCGGCGCCUCCGCUUGUUCGUCCGUCGAGGAGGAUGUAAAAAAGGUGAAACCGGUAAGGCGCGUACUUGAGCAUUUUUACGACGCCUAAAACGGUGCUCCGCUCGAUCAUAGUAAUUCGCCAUGUGGAAGAAAUAACGUACGUCAUAUAUGUAUAUAUUGUUGCGCACAAUAGCUUACGUAAGAAAAAAAAAAACAAAAAAAAAACAUAAAUUUGUGGCGAUUAUAUCGUUGCAUGCAUUGACAUCCGAAUCAGCUCAACAGAAUAGACUUAUGUAUUUUCUAUAUUCCUUUGUAAUAAUUUCUUUUUGUAUUAAUCAUAUAUUUCAUGAUUGUAUUUUCUUUGUAACAUAAUUUGAAACGUUUAACGACUCGAGACAAAAGAGACAAACAAUAGCAGCAAACUGGUUCUCCUUCGAUACUGUACUUGUUAUUAAGAAUUAAAAAUUAAGAAUUUAUUUUUUAAGAAGAAUCUCGAAGGAGAAAAGUAUAGAGAACCGAUAUGGAAUAACGAACGGACGAGAGAUUUGACCGACGGACACCGGCGAGUAAAGACGUGUAUUUAAAAGCAAGAAUAAAAGACACUUUAUUAAAUCGGAUUUUAUUCUUUUCGACACCGUCCAGUGUUCGAUCCGACAUAUAUUCCCAAAAAAUUAAAAUUAAAAAACGAUAAAUUAAAAUGAUUAGACGCUAGACAAAACAAAAUAUCGAGCAUCAUGAGAAAGAUUUAAAUUUCUUAGCAACCUUCUUAUCAAAUUUCUUAUCGACCGUCGUCGAAAAGAAGUUGUUUACAAGAAAGAAAGAAUCUAAUCGUUUAUCUACUAUAUCACAAUUAAUAAUUACUAAGCAGAUUCAUAUUUAUGCGCAGGGCAAAUACAGCAGCAUGAGACUCGUUCACACGCGGAGAACUGCUCAGCACACAAAUCUUUUUGAUAAACUGACAAGUGGUGGAUCAUAUUCAUUCGUGCUCAGACGAGGAGCUGCCCACACGUUAAGCCGCAUACCAAAAUGACUAGAGCAUUUCUGCGCGCAAACCACACAUUCGUGCGCACGAAAAUGCGCGAUUCAGCAUAUGAAUACGUAUAUCAAGGAGAUACGAAGCUGAGAAGCGAGUUAUUUCUUACUAAGAACGGAAGUACUGAGCUGCUUGAGAAGCAUGAUCUUAUCGUAUAUUGUGUCUCUUCCUGACGGUGCUGACCGCAUCGAGGCUUCUGGAUCACGGACGAGCGAGAAGCACAUGAGCAUCGAUCUCGCGUCGUAAAAACCCUCGGAUCAACUACGUAGCAAUUCGAAUUAUUUUGGAUGUACGAGCGGGCAACAUCAGCGAUUUGUCGCAGGUGCGCCGGGCAUUUCAUUCCGACGCGCACGUGGCGUCUCUUAAUUCGAACUCGCGACGACUAAAAACAAACGUGAUACGGCGCUUAUGAAUAAAGCGGGGAAACUUCUCUACGAGAGAGAGAAACGAGCGGGACCCACGUUUUUGUCGUCACGAGAAAACUCGACGAAAUAUUUCAGGAUAAUGGAGAUGUAAUUAUAAAAAACAUCCGAACAGCUCUCUAAAAAAAAAAAAA